Molecule: long non-coding RNA, 2867 nt
Organism: Macadamia integrifolia
Lineage: Eukaryota; Viridiplantae; Streptophyta; Magnoliopsida; Proteales; Proteaceae
Exons: 2
Source: RefSeq, a predicted model, not a curated record
GACCUUUCCAAAUCUAUAUAAUGUCGCCCUUUCUCUUCUGCCUCGACCUCUACGAGUUUCUUCUUCCAGCUUUAAUACGAAUAUACUCUUCCUUGUCUGUACCUGAGAUCUUCUCAAAGCAGUUAUUACUUUUCUCAGUCUGAGAAGAUUCCCGGAACUAACAGGGCGAUUUGAUCUCAAACCAAUGGAAAUGGUGUAUCGAUCCUAUUCACAAGCUGUAGCGAACACUGAAUUACAAAUUCAAGCUUUCAAAACCCUAAACCUAAAGAGUAUGAACACGAGUUCAUCGCCUAAAAAGCCCUAACCCUCUUCAGUUUCCAUUUUCUCCUCUUCGUUUCCCUUUCUCUUUCCCAAAUCGCAUCCUGCUGCUGUGCUGCGUCUCCCAUCGGAGAGUCUUGAACCACUCCUUUCUCAAUCGGCGCCUUCACUUGGAGUCUCGAACCUCUCCUUUCGCAGUCGGCGCCACCACUCGGAGAGUCUCGAACCACUCCUUUCUCAGUCGAAAAGGGUUCGGCAUGCACGGCUUCUGCCUCUGGUAAGUCUCUCUAUCUCAGCUCAUUUCAUGUUAAUUUUGGUUCUCGACCAAAAUUUUAGGCCUAAGCGUUCAGUAUUUUCUGGGUUAUAAUUGUUUUCCCUUUGAUCUUCAAGUCUACCAUUUUCUGAUAAUUUCCAUAUCUAUGCUUCUUGUGUAUUGAUCUCUGGUUAGAAAUUGGAUUUGCUUCUCAAUUAAACCAGGCGAACGCUUAAGAACCCUUAUUUCCUCAAACAAAACCGUUUAAGGACUGUUUUCCUCAAUCCGGUUACUAAGCCGACAAUGAAACAGUUUGAAAUUUGGAAACUGCAACUGUUUUCUACUGAACCAAAACUGUUUAAUUAACUAUUGAUUUGGAUUCUGAUCGGAUUUUGCUCAUGGCCAAUAUUUAGAAUCAAUUGUUCAUCAUAUUCCUUUAUCUGAGAUUUAAUACCCAUAUCCUAAUGCGAGUAGAUUUAAUUCAUAUUCUCAGUUCCAGCCUUUGGAUUGAGUUGGGAUUUUCAGCAAUUGAUCUAUACCUUGUUUACAGAACUCGAUUGUCCGAUUUACUUUUAUUGUCUAUUCUCCUAAUCUGGGUUCUUACUCCGAGAAAAAGUCAUAUUUUGCUACUGGUUUGAUUAUUCUGUUACGGUUCUACAUUAUCAAGCCGAGGCAUUGGGAUAACCAAUUUACAUCAUGAUUUAAAAUAUGUAAUAAGGAAUGGAUAAGUUCAGCCAAUUCAUGUUAUAUACAACAUUUAAUUAUCAUCCUAAUCUAGUGUGUAGUUGAUACAUGAUUUUCUGUAAUAUAGUGUAUGAUUUGCCAAAACACCAUUGUUCUUCUUAUUCGACAUAUUUGGUUGUGGACUUUUCCUAAAACAGGAAUUUGUCAGAAACAUUCAAAUGCUUAACAAGAGAAGAGAUGGGAGUUAACUAUUUCCUAAUGCUUUUGACACAAGAAGCAAAAUAUAGAAGGCUAUAUACUAUGGGAUCAACGAUUUACCAGAGUACCAGGAAUGUUACAUGAGGCAUCAUUUUUUGUUGUAUAGUUUUAAAGGAUCGAUGAGAGGAAAAGGUUAUAAAAAGAAAAUAAAAGUGAAGAAGAGGUAAAGAAGAUGGGUGUUCCGUUUUUCGCAAAUCGAGUGACAUCCACUUGAAUUAACUCAAAGCUUACUAUCUUCAUUUUUCCUCAUUCCGUAUUUUUCUUUUUUAUUCCCUACCCACCUUCCCUAUUCAUUCCUUCGGGCCUUUCCUUUUCCUAUUUAUUUCUUAUCCACCCCUUUCCCUUUUUCUUCCAAACUCAUCCCUUCGCCUUUCACUUUUUUCGUUGCUUCUCUUAAAAUGAAAUUUCAACAUGAUAUACACUAAUAUUUCAGAUACUUUUUCAGAUACUACAUUCUAAAUACAAGCCACAACUUGAAAUUGAAUUAACUCCAAGUUGGUGAUUCAUAUAUUUUUUUUAAUGGUUAUAAUUCAUAAAUAGUUUCCUAUUUUGCAUGUCAGAAGCUCAACUAAUGUAGAAUUAGCAUUAGUUUAUCUCUUCGCAUAUAUUUUUAAUCUUCUUUAAAACAAAUUAUUGGUUAUUAUUCUUAAUGAUAUAAGGAUUGCUAGGGGUUAUUUCAAUCUUUUAUGAUCAUUGCUGGCAAUAUCACUUUCUUCAUAGGCCACAACUUUCUACCCAUAGGCUUAUGUGGAUGCUGUUUUAGCUGUUCUAUCCAUUGGAUAGGUAUGUUCUUUGAAUUGGCCAUGUCAAAGUUUCAGGAUUCAUAUCAAGAUUUGACCCACCACGAAGUCCUUUCGACCCCAUAAAUAACAGUAGAACCAAGGUUUGUGUAAAGAGAAUUUCAAAGUUAAAUUAUAUCCAACUCUUUUUGUGGCUAUGCCCUUUUUAUAUUGUAAUCAAAAUGCUUUUUUUUUUUUGUAAUAUAGCCUUUGCUUUUAUUUGCAGUGUAAUAUUUGGGCUCAUGUGGAUGAUACAUCAUUAGUGUGGUGUGCAUAUAAAUAAAUUUUUAAUGACUAAACACUCUUCUAAGAGGGAAAAGGGCAAUCAAGAAUCCAAGAUACCGAGGAAAAUGACAAAGUACCAAAAAGGCCUAUGCCUCUUACAUUGAAGGAUGGUAAAAGUUUUAAAUUUGAAUCUUUCAAGAGCUAAAGAAUGCUUGGUUCUUUGUUAAAAAAUAUACGGAAGGAAGAAAGAAUGCUUGUUUUUGUGUCAAGGCACAUAGGGUGCGAAAAGAUUAUGCUAUUUUUGUGUUGAAGAUUCUUGUGCCAAUCCUCCCAUUAGUUGUCGGGGCUGUUUUGUAUCUACACAUGCAUAAUUGUCUAAUUGACGGUUCCCCUAUAAUCUCUCUUUCUUC